Molecule: ribosomal RNA, 480 nt
Filed under: uncultured bacterium
Lineage: Bacteria
Description: partial 16S ribosomal RNA
Rfam family: Bacterial small subunit ribosomal RNA
Source: RNAcentral
AUGAACGCUGGCGGCGUGCUUAACACCUGCAAGUCGAACGAAGCACUUUAUUUGAUUUCCUUCGGGACUGAUUAUUUUGUGACUGAGUGGCGGACGGGUGAGUAACGCGUGGGUAACCUGCCUUGUACAGGGGGAUAACAGUUGGAAACGGCUGCUAAUACCGCAUAAGCGCACGGCAUCGCAUGAUGCAGUGUGAAAAACUCCGGUGGUAUAAGAUGGACCCGCGUUGGAUUAGCUAGUUGGUGAGGUAACGGCCCACCAAGGCGACGAUCCAUAGCCGACCUGAGAGGGUGACCGGCCACAUUGGGACUGAGACACGGCCCAAACUCCUACGGGAGGCAGCAGUGGGGAAUAUUGCACAAUGGGCGAAAGCCUGAUGCAGCGACGCCGCGUGAGCGAAGAAGUAUUUCGGUAUGUAAAGCUCUAUCAGCAGGGAAGAUAAUGACGGUACCUGACUAAGAAGCACCGGCUAAAUACGUG